CCCUUAGAUGUCCUGGGCCGCACGCGCGCUACACUGAGUGUCUGAGAUACGAGUCUGCCUGGUCCGGCAAGGUCUAGGUAAUCGCUAAAAGACACAUCAUGCUGGGGAUAGAUUAUUGCAAAUAUUAAUCUUGAACGAGGAAUUCCUAGUAAGCGCAAGUCAACAGCUUGCGUUGAUUACGUCCCUGCCCUUUGUACACACCGCCCGUCGCUACUACUGAUUGGAUGUUUAAGCGAGGUUCUCGAACUGCUAGCGACUUAGCUUCGGUGAGGUCGCAGUGUGGGAAGUGAACCUAGCUUUGGUGUCUAGAGGAAGUAAAAGUCGUAACA
Molecule: ribosomal RNA, 329 nt
Filed under: uncultured eukaryote
Lineage: Eukaryota
Description: partial 18S ribosomal RNA
Rfam family: Eukaryotic small subunit ribosomal RNA
Source: RNAcentral